RNAcentral lists this long non-coding RNA (499 nucleotides) under Anas platyrhynchos platyrhynchos (common mallard). RNAcentral describes it as "lncRNA (ENSAPLG00000030878.1)". The record is from RNAcentral. Lineage: Eukaryota; Metazoa; Chordata; Aves; Anseriformes; Anatidae.
UAAAAUAAGCCAAGCAAUUGCUACCAAUAAUGACACACUUGGGAGCAAUUAGAGGCCUUAUUUAAUGGGCACCAAAGGCAGGUGGGUAUGAGUGUUAGAUGAUAGGAGUUGUAGUGUGGGUGGGUGUGUAGAAGUAAGGUGGCAGAAGAGGGAAGCUCUUCUGCUUGAGCAAUGUUGGUUCUGGAGGGCUUGUUAUUCCUCACACAGAUGUAAAGAGUUGUCAUGAAUGUCUCUAUUGUAUUUGAGGAAGCUGAGUUAGGAAAGCUGGGAAGUUAUUGACCUGAGUGGAUGGUCUUUAGUAGAUCUUCAAAUACAGAAAUGGGAGAUAUGCCUGUGUCAUGUCUUUGCACAUCUAACUAUUCUAGCUGAACUGAAUGAUGAUAUGAAGGGAGAGGAAAUAAUUUCCAGAGCAGGGAACCAACAGUGCGAAAAGGUGAGCUGCUUAAAGGUGAACUGACACCCUGCUUCAAAAAUAAGCACAGCCAAGGUGUGGGAAUAG